This 1327-nucleotide ribosomal RNA is filed under the name Cylindrospermopsis raciborskii Cyl Vietnam. Its description in RNAcentral is "bacterial SSU rRNA". It matches the Rfam family "Bacterial small subunit ribosomal RNA", at positions 85 to 1447 of the family's 1533-position model. Lineage: Bacteria; Bacillati; Cyanobacteriota; Cyanophyceae; Nostocales; Aphanizomenonaceae. The record is from RNAcentral.
UAGGCAUCUAGUGGCGGACGGGUGAGUAACGCGUGAGAAUCUGGCUCCAGGUCGGGGAUAACAGUUGGAAACGACUGCUAAUACCGGAUGUGCCGAGAGGUGAAAGAUUUAUUGCCUGGAGAUGAGCUCGCGUCUGAUUAGCUAGUUGGUGGUGUAAGGGACCACCAAGGCGUCGAUCAGUAGCUGGUCUGAGAGGAUGAUCAGCCACACUGGGACUGAGACACGGCCCAGACUCCUACGGGAGGCAGCAGUGGGGAAUUUUCCGCAAUGGGCGAAAGCCUGACGGAGCAAUACCGCGUGAGGGAGGAAGGCUCUUGGGUCGUAAACCUCUUUUCUCAAGGAAGAAGAAAGUGACGGUACUUGAGGAAUAAGCAUCGGCUAACUCCGUGCCAGCAGCCGCGGUAAUACGGAGGAUGCAAGCGUUAUCCGGAAUGAUUGGGCGUAAAGGGUCUGCAGGUGGAACUGAAAGUCUGCUGUUAAAGAGUUUGGCUUAACCAAAUAAAAGCGGUGGAAACUACAGAACUAGAGUGCGGUAGGGGCAAAAGGAAUUCCUGGUGUAGCGGUGAAAUGCGUAGAUAUCAGGAAGAACACCGGUGGCGAAAGCGUUUUGCUAGACCGUAACUGACACUGAGGGACGAAAGCUAGGGGAGCGAAUGGGAUUAGAUACCCCAGUAGUCCUAGCCGUAAACGAUGGAUACUAGGCGUGGCUUGUAUCGACCCGAGCCGUGCCGGAGCUAACGCGUUAAGUAUCCCGCCUGGGGAGUACGCACGCAAGUGUGAAACUCAAAGGAAUUGACGGGGGCCCGCACAAGCGGUGGAGUAUGUGGUUUAAUUCGAUGCAACGCGAAGAACCUUACCAAGACUUGACAUCCUGCGAAUCCUGGUGAAAGCUGGGAGUGCCUUAGGGAGCGCAGAGACAGGUGGUGCAUGGCUGUCGUCAGCUCGUGUCGUGAGAUGUUGGGUUAAGUCCCGCAACGAGCGCAACCCUCGUUUUUAGUUGCCAGCAUUAAGUUGGGCACUCUAGAGAGACUGCCGGUGACAAACCGGAGGAAGGUGAGGAUGACGUCAAGUCAGCAUGCCCCUUACGUCUUGGGCUACACACGUACUACAAUGCUACGGACAGAGGGCAGCGAGCCAGGGAUGGCAAGCGAAUCCAGAAACCGUAGCUCAGUUCAGAUCGAAGGCUGCAACUCGCCUUCGUGAAGGAGGAAUCGCUAGUAAUUGCAGGUCAGCAUACUGCAGUGAAUUCGUUCCCGGGCCUUGUACACACCGCCCGUCACACCAUGGAAGUUGGUCACGCCCGAAGUCAUUACCCCAACCGAAAGGA